AUACGGAGGGUGCAAGCGUUAAUCGGAAUUACUGGGCGUAAAGGGCGCGUAGGCGGUCUAUCAAGUCAGGUGUGAAAUCCCACGGCUCCACCGUGGAGGUGCAUCUGAAACUGAUAGACUUGAGUAUGGGAGAGGAAAGUGGAAUUCCCGGUGUAGAGGUGAAAUUCGUAGAUAUCAGGAGGAACACCAGUGGCGAAGGCGACUUUCUGGACCAAUACUGACGCUCAGGCGCGAAAGCGUGGGGAGCAAACAGGAUUAGAUACCCUAGUAGUCC
This 274-nucleotide ribosomal RNA is filed under the name uncultured bacterium. Its description in RNAcentral is "partial 16S ribosomal RNA". It matches the Rfam family "Bacterial small subunit ribosomal RNA", at positions 523 to 796 of the family's 1533-position model. The record is from RNAcentral.